This 497-nucleotide ribosomal RNA is filed under the name uncultured bacterium. Its description in RNAcentral is "partial 16S ribosomal RNA". It matches the Rfam family "Bacterial small subunit ribosomal RNA", at positions 28 to 507 of the family's 1533-position model. The record is from RNAcentral.
GAUGAACGCUGGCGGCGUGCCUAAUACAUGCAAGUCGAGCGAACAGACGAGGAGCUUGCUCCUCUGACGUUAGCGGAGGACGGGUGAGUAACACGUGGAUAACCUACCUAUAAGACUGGGAUAACUUCGGGAAACCGGAGCUAAUCCCGGAUAAUAUAUUGAACCGCAUGGUUCAAUAGUGAAAGACGGUUUUGCUGUCACUUAUAGCUGGAUCCGCGCCGCAUUAGCUAGUUGGUAAGGUAACGGCUUACCAAGGCAACGAUGCGUAGCCGACCUGAGAGGGUGAUCGGCCACACUGGAACUUAGACACGGUCCAUACUACUACGGGAGGCAGCAGUAGGGAAUCUGCCGCAAUGGUCGAAAGCCUGACGGAGCAACGCCGCGUGAGUGAUGAAGGUCUUCGGAUCGUAAAACUCUGUUAUUAGGGAAGAACAAAUGUGUAAGUAACUAUGCACUUCUUGACGGUACCUAAUCAGAAAGCCACGGCUAACUACGUG